UUUCCGUAGGUGAACCUGCGGAAGGAUCAUUACUGAGUUAGGGUCUUUAUGGCCCGACCUCCAACCCUUUGUUUAAUCUACCAUGUUGCUUUGGCAGGCCCGCUUAGAAAUGGGCCGCCGGAGACCUUUGAGUCUCUGGUCAGUGCCUGCCAGUAGCCUUUCUAAAUUCAUUUAUAACCGUGUCUGAAUAUACAAAGAAAAAUUAAAAUAAGACUUUCAACAACGGAUCUCUUGGUUCUG
This 240-nucleotide unclassified non-coding RNA is filed under the name plant metagenome. Its description in RNAcentral is "partial contains small subunit ribosomal RNA, internal transcribed spacer 1, and 5.8S ribosomal RNA". The record is from RNAcentral.